CAGUAGCCGCGGUAAUACGAAGGGUGCAAGCGUUACUCGGAAUCACUGGGCGUAAAGGGUGCGUAGGCGGGUCUUUAAGUCAGAGGUGAAAUCCUGGAGCUCAACUCCAGAACUGCCUUUGAUACUGAGGAUCUUGAGUUCGGGAGAGGUGAGUGGAACUGCGAGUGUAGAGGUGAAAUUCGUAGAUAUUCGCAAGAACACCAGUGGCGAAGGCGGCUCACUGGCCCGAUACUGACGCUGAGGCACGAAAGCGUGGGGAGCAAACAGGAUUAGAUACCCCCGUAGUCCCUGUCUCUUAUAC
This 301-nucleotide ribosomal RNA is filed under the name uncultured bacterium. Its description in RNAcentral is "partial 16S ribosomal RNA". It matches the Rfam family "Bacterial small subunit ribosomal RNA", at positions 509 to 807 of the family's 1533-position model. The record is from RNAcentral.